Molecule: ribosomal RNA, 497 nt
Filed under: uncultured bacterium
Lineage: Bacteria
Description: partial 16S ribosomal RNA
Rfam family: Bacterial small subunit ribosomal RNA
Source: RNAcentral
GAUGAACGCUGGCGGCGUGCCUAAUACAUGCAAGUCGAGCGAACGGACGAGAAGCUUGCUUCUCUGAUGUUAGCGGCGGACGGGUGAGUAACACGUGGAUAACCUACCUAUAUGGCUGGGAUAACUUCGGGAAACCGGAGCUAAUACCGGCUGAUAUUUUGAACCGCAUGGUUCAAAAGUGAAAGACGGUCUUGCUGUCACUUAUAGAUGGAUCCGCGCUGCAUUAGCUAGUUGGUAAGGUAACGGCUUACCAAGGCAACGAUGCAUAGCCGACCUGAGAGGGUGAGCGUCGACACUGGAACUGAGACUCGGACCAGACUCCUACGGGAGGCAGCAGUAGGGAAUGUGGCGCAAUGGGCGAAAGCGUGAGGGAGCAACACCGAGGGAGUGAUGAAGGUCUUCGGAUCGGAAAACUGUGUUAUUAGGGAAGAACAUAUGUGUAAGUAACUGUGCACAGCUUGACGGUACCGAGUCAGAAAGCCACGGCUAACUACGUG